This 788-nucleotide non-coding RNA is filed under the name Priasilpha obscura. Lineage: Eukaryota; Metazoa; Arthropoda; Insecta; Coleoptera; Phloeostichidae. The record is from RNAcentral.
UUAAAGUUUUAUUUUAACUUUAAAAUUAAGUAUAAUUUUAAUUUAUAUGUAAAUUUUUGUUUGAAAAUAAUAAAUUUUUAGAUAGGGUUUAUUUAUGGAUUAAUUCUCAGUAAAUAAUUUUAAAAAUUAAAGUAAUUUAGAUUUAGGGAUAAUUUUGAAUAUUAACAAAUUUUGUGCCAGCAGUUGCGGUUAUACAAAAGAUAUAAUUUAAUUUAUUUAGCUAUAAUUAAUUUAUGUAUAAUUAUAGAUUAUAUAAAAAAAAUUAUUAAGUGAAAUUUUAAUUUUUUAUUAAAAUUUAUUUUAGUUGAUGAAGUUAAGAAAUUUAAUUAUUAAACUAGGAUUAGAUACCCUAUUAUUUUAAAUGUAAAAUUAAUUGCUUGAUUAGUAUUAGUUAUGUUCUUGAAAAUUAAAAAAUUUGGCGGUAUUUUAGUCUAUUCAGAGGAAUCUGUCCUAUAAUUGAUAUUCCACGAUUAAAGUAACUUAUUUUAAUUAGUUUGUAUAUCGUCGUAGUUUGAAUAUUUUUUAAGAAUUUAAAUGUUCAAAAUUUUUAAUUAAGAAAAGAAAUCAGAUCAAGGUGCAGUUUAUAAGUAAGGAGAGAUGGAUUACAAUAAUUUUAUUUAAAUGGAUUUAAAUAUUAAAAUUUUAUUGAAAGUGGAUUUGAAAGUAAUUUUAAUUAAUAUAUUAAAAUGAUUUUAGCUCUAAAAUAUGUACAUAUCGCCCGUCGCUUUCACUAUAAAGUGAAAUAAGUCGUAACAAAGUAGUUUUACUGGAAAGUGAAUCUGGAAAGA